AUGGAAAAGCAUCUAGCUGGCUGUGAUUAUAGAUGGAUAUGGAAAGCUGAACUCCCUCUUAAGAUUCAAAUCUUUUUAUGGCAAUUAUUCCAGGAUGCUGUGUUGACACGAGAUGUCAUGAGCAGACGAAACUGGGCUGGAAACCCGAAGUGCUCCUUUUGUAUGGAUAGAGAAACCUCGCAUCACCUUUUCUUCACCUGCCCUGUUGCCAGGGUAGUCUAUAUAGGGUAG
Molecule: ribosomal RNA, 231 nt
Filed under: Triticum aestivum (bread wheat)
Lineage: Eukaryota; Viridiplantae; Streptophyta; Magnoliopsida; Poales; Poaceae
Description: partial small subunit ribosomal RNA
Source: RNAcentral